This 493-nucleotide ribosomal RNA is filed under the name uncultured bacterium. Its description in RNAcentral is "partial 16S ribosomal RNA". It matches the Rfam family "Bacterial small subunit ribosomal RNA", at positions 30 to 523 of the family's 1533-position model. The record is from RNAcentral.
AUUGAACGCUGGCGGCAUGCCUUACACAUGCAAGUCGAACGGUAACAGGUUAAGCUGACGAGUGGCGAACGGGUGAGUAAUACAUCGGAACGUGCCCAGACGUGGGGGAUAGCUCGGCGAAAGCCGGAUUAAUACCGCAUAAGCUCUGAGGAGGAAAGCGGGGGACCGUAAGGCCUCGCGCGUUUGGAGCGGCCGAUGGCAGAUUAGGUGGUUGGUGGGGUAAAGGCUUACCAAGCCUACGAUCUGUAGCUGGUCUGAGAGGACGACCAGCCACACUGGGACUGAGACACGGCCCAGACUCCUACGGGAGGCAGCAGUGGGGAAUUUUGGACAAUGGGCGAAAGCCUGAUCCAGCAAUGCCGCGUGCAGGAUGAAGGCCUUCAGGUUGUAAACUGCUUUUGUACGGAACGAAAAGGCGCCUACUAAUACUGGGUGUUGAUGACGGUACCGUAAGAAUAAGCACCGGCUAACUACGUGCCAGCAGCCGCAGUAA